UUGUAACUUUUUUUUAAAUAGAAGAAACAGUUGAAAUUCAAGAGCAUGAGCCAACUUUAUACCUCAACGUGUAGAAGUUAAGCCACAGGUUGAAUGUCCAAAAGCAGUCAAGCAACACAAUUUCUUCAUUACAUCCAGUGAUAAACAUAUAAAAGAUGCCUUUAAAUGGAUGAUUCAGGCAGAUAGAAGAGAUGUGAGUGAAGAGUUCUACAAAGUACAACCUGAGUUGCGUGCCUUGUACAAAAGAAGAGCUUCCCAUGCUGUGGAGAGACGCAAGGAAAUUAGAGGAAGAAAUAAUUACAAUUACCAUGGAAAUGGAGCACAAGUUUCUCUUGGCUCAGAUCAUAGGUGGAGGGAUAGAGAUGGCCACUCCAGAUAAUAUAUGUGUAUUUGUUUUGUUAAUAAAACUCACAAAUUCAGUGAACUUUGCUUGCAUGUUGACUAUAGUUUCUUUAGAUCUAGAUUUUCUAAAUUCCAGUAUUGUUUUUUGUUAUGACAGAGAAAGAUUAAAAGCUUUAGAUACUAAGCAGGAUACCAAGUUCAUACUGUAAUCAGAAAAAGGGUGCUAGAAUGAAGAGUCUUGUGCUUGUUGUAUUAUACAAAAUAAUGGAUGUUCAGAGUAUGUACAUGUCAUGCUCAAUGUGAGUUUACUUUAUUAAUAGUUUUUACACAUAAAUGGCUACACUUGUACUAAGGCACCAAUGAGGCAAUUACGAGUGCUGUCUGUCUUGUCUGUUUACUCCUUUUCUUGAUUUUCGAAAAUAUUUUACAUUAUCCCAUAUUGCUGUAAGUAAUGUCUGUAACAUUUUAGUAAUUAUAAUGCCUAAAAUAAAAAUAACAACAUCAA
Molecule: long non-coding RNA, 847 nt
Organism: Penaeus monodon (black tiger shrimp)
Lineage: Eukaryota; Metazoa; Arthropoda; Malacostraca; Decapoda; Penaeidae
Exons: 2
Source: RefSeq, a predicted model, not a curated record